GCUCAACCAGUAUAAUCAAUGUACUAUAUAAAAUUAAAAUUCAAGAUGGCGGCCUCUACAAAAUGGCGGAUAACUUAGGUUUUAUCGAUCCCAUCAAUAUGGGUAUCAAAUGAAAGUGCUCAACCAGUAUAAUCAAUAUACUAUAUAAAAUUAAAAUCCAAGAUGGCGGCCUCUACAAAAUGGCGGAUAACUUAGGUUUUAUCAAUCCCAUCAACAUG
RNAcentral lists this unclassified non-coding RNA (218 nucleotides) under Melitaea cinxia (Glanville fritillary). Its description in RNAcentral is "misc RNA ENSMCXG00005018543.1". Lineage: Eukaryota; Metazoa; Arthropoda; Insecta; Lepidoptera; Nymphalidae. The record is from RNAcentral.